GGGCGAUUAGCUCAGUCGGUCAGAGCGCUUCUCUGAUAAGGAAGAGGUCCCUGGUUCGAGUCCAGGAUCGCCCA
Molecule: transfer RNA, 74 nt
Filed under: Solirubrobacterales bacterium
Lineage: Bacteria; Bacillati; Actinomycetota; Thermoleophilia; Solirubrobacterales
Also listed under: 4 other names
Description: tRNA-Ile(gat)
Rfam family: tRNA
About the family: Transfer RNA (tRNA) molecules are approximately 80 nucleotides in length. Their secondary structure includes four short double-helical elements and three loops (D, anti-codon, and T loops).
Source: RNAcentral